ACGAACGCUGGCGGCGUGCUUAACACAUGCAAGUCGAACGGAAAGGCCCUGCUUUUGUGGGGUGCUCGAGUGGCGAACGGGUGAGUAACACGUGAGUAACCUGCCCUUGACUUUGGGAUAACUUCAGGAAACUGGGGCUAAUACCGGAUAGGAGCUCCUGCUGCAUGGUGGGGGUUGGAAAGUUUCGGCGGUUGGGGAUGGACUCGCGGCUUAUCAGCUUGUUGGUGGGUAGUGGCUUACCAAGGCUUUGACGGGUAGCCGGCCUGAGAGGGUGACCGGCCACAUUGGGACUGAGAUACGGCCCAGACUCCUACGGGAGGCAGCAGUGGAGAAUAUUGCACAAUGGGCGGAAGCCUGAUGCAGCAACGCCGCGUGCGGGAUGACGGCCUUCGGGUUGUAAACCGCUUUCGCCUGUGACGAAGCGUGAGUGACGGUAAUGGGUAAAGAAGCACCGGCUAACUACGUG
RNAcentral lists this ribosomal RNA (466 nucleotides) under uncultured bacterium. RNAcentral's name for it is "partial 16S ribosomal RNA". It matches the Rfam family "Bacterial small subunit ribosomal RNA", at positions 29 to 507 of the family's 1533-position model. The record is from RNAcentral.